GAGUGAACGCUGGCGGCAGGCCUAACACAUGCAAGUCGAACGGCAGCACAAGAGAGCUUGCUCUCUGGGUGGCGAGUGGCGGACGGGUGAGGAAUGCAUCGGAAUCUGCCCAUUUGUGGGGGAUAACCUCGGGAAACCGGGACUAAUACCGCAUACGACCUACGGGUGAAAGCAGGGGAUCUUCGGACCUUGCGCAGAUGGAUGAGCCGAUGCCGGAUUAGCUAGUUGGAGGGGUAAAGGCCCACCAAGGCGACGAUCCGUAGCUGGUCUGAGAGGAUGAUCAGCCACACUGGGACUGAGACACGGCCCAGACUCCUACGGGAGGCAGCAGUGGGGAAUAUUGGACAAUGGGCGCAAGCCUGAUCCAGCCAUGCCGCGUGUGUGAAGAAGGCCUUCGGGUUGUAAAGCACUUUUGUUGGGAAAGAAAAGCAGCCGGUUAAUACCCGGUUGUCAUGACGGUACCCAAAGAAUAAGCACCGGCUAACUUCGUG
RNAcentral lists this ribosomal RNA (491 nucleotides) under uncultured bacterium. Its description in RNAcentral is "partial 16S ribosomal RNA". It matches the Rfam family "Bacterial small subunit ribosomal RNA", at positions 27 to 507 of the family's 1533-position model. The record is from RNAcentral.